This 90-nucleotide small RNA is filed under the name Epilithonimonas bovis DSM 19482. RNAcentral describes it as "Chryseobacterium bovis DSM 19482 Flavo-1 RNA". It matches the Rfam family "Flavo-1 RNA". Lineage: Bacteria; Pseudomonadati; Bacteroidota; Flavobacteriia; Flavobacteriales; Weeksellaceae. The record is from RNAcentral.
GCUGCGCCAGCGAUGGAAGCGGCAUCCUUUUGCAAAAACUAAGGAUGAGCCAUGGGCUUGCAAAAGAUACAGCGGACAGCGCGGUUUUUG